GACGGGUGAGUAAUGCCUAGGAAUCUGCCUGGUAGUGGGGGACAACGUUUCGAAAGGAACGCUAAUACCGCAUACGUCCUACGGGAGAAAGCAGGGGACCUUCGGGCCUUGCGCUAUCAGAUGAGCCUAGGUCGGAUUAGCUAGUUGGUGGGGUAAUGGCUCACCAAGGCGACGAUCCGUAACUGGUCUGAGAGGAUGAUCAAUCACACUGGAACUGAGACACGGUCCAGACUCCUACGGGAGGCAGCAGUGGGGAAUAUUGGACAAUGGGCGAAAGCCUGAUCCAGCCAUGCCGCGUGUGUGAAGAAGGUCUUCGGAUUGUAAAGCACUUUAAGUUGGGAGGAAGGGCAGUAAGCGAAUACCUUGCUGUUUUGACGUUACCGACAGAAUAAGCACCGGCUAACUCUGUGCCAGCAGCCGCGGUAAUACAGAGGGUGCAAGCGUUAAUCGGAAUUACUGGGCGUAAAGCGCGCGUAGGUGGUUUGUUAAGUUGAAUGUGAAAGCCCCGGGCUCAACCUGGGAACUGCAUCCAAAACUGGCAAGCUAGAGUACGGUAGAGGGUGGUGGAAU
RNAcentral lists this ribosomal RNA (570 nucleotides) under bacterium RBM-E20. RNAcentral describes it as "bacterial SSU rRNA". It matches the Rfam family "Bacterial small subunit ribosomal RNA", at positions 100 to 667 of the family's 1533-position model. The record is from RNAcentral.